This 774-nucleotide ribosomal RNA is filed under the name uncultured Neocallimastigales. RNAcentral describes it as "partial large subunit ribosomal RNA". It matches the Rfam family "Eukaryotic large subunit ribosomal RNA", at positions 23 to 646 of the family's 3401-position model. The record is from RNAcentral. Lineage: Eukaryota; Fungi; Neocallimastigomycota; Neocallimastigomycetes; Neocallimastigales.
AGAGAGAGACAUGCGCGCAUAUCAAUAAGCGGAGGAAAAGAAACUAACAAGGAUUCCCCUAGUAACGGCGAGUGAAGCGGGAAGAGCUCAAAUUUGAAAUCUUAAAGGGUUUCCCUUUACGAAUUGUAGUUUAAAGAAGUGUUUCUGUUGAGGUUUUGGUAAAAGUUCUUUGGAAUAGGACAUCAUAGAGGGUGAGAAUCCCGUAUUUGACCUUUACUUUCAACUUUGUGAUACACUUUCAAAGAGUCGGAUUGUUUGGGAAUGCAGUCCAAAAUGGGUGGUAAAUUUCAGUCUAAAGCUAAAUAUUGGCGAGAGACCGAUAGCGAACAAGUACCGUGAGGGAAAGAUGAAAAGAACUUUGAAAAGAGAGUUAAACAGUACGUGAAAUUGUCAAAAGGGAAGCGUUUGACACCAGUGUUGUUUUUCUGAAAAUCAAUUAAAGAACUGUUUAUGCUAAGUUGUUUAGACUUUAUCAGCUAACUGUUUAGUUUUGAGCUUUUCUUUAAUGCACUUUUCAGUUAACAAGUCAACAUCAAUUUCUUUUGCUGUAAAAAAGCUUGAGGAAGGUGGCUUGAGAUUCGUCUUAAGUGUUUAUAGCCUCUUGCCUAUGCAGUCGGAGAGAUUGAGGUCUGCAGCGUAGGUCCUUCGGGGCUAAAUGCAUUUGUGCUAAGUUAUAGCAUUUUAUAGACAACUUGUUGACUAUGAUUUGUCUUGUAGCUUACUCGCUUAUGUUAUUUUACCUACGCUUAGGAUGUUGACGCAUGAGAUAUACGC